GAGAGGAGGAGGAGGAGGGGGAAACAAAGAGCCUGCUAGAGAGGAGGGGGGAGAGGCACAAAGAGGUAGGGGGAGGCGAGAGAAAGAGGGAGAGACCCCCGCCCACCUCCCCUCUUUUCCCUGCUGGCCAAGCCCCCUUUCUCCCUCCCCCCUCCCCUUCACCCCGACCCCUCUCUUUUUCUUUCUUGCCGAUUCUCUCUCUCUCUCGGUUCCUUUGCUGUAACCUGAUCCCUUCUGCCCAGUGUGGCUCUUGGGCGCACAAAGAUCCCCCUCUCUUUCCCCUUUUUC
Molecule: non-coding RNA, 288 nt
Organism: Podarcis lilfordi (Lilford's wall lizard)
Lineage: Eukaryota; Metazoa; Chordata; Lepidosauria; Squamata; Lacertidae
Source: the annotation of a GenBank genome assembly